AAUGGGAAUUGGCCGAUUUGAUUCCAAUAUUCAAGGAGCAUGGAAUAACACCUGAUAAUAUAACAAAACUAACAGAAAGCCUAAUUAAGGAAUUGAUCCCUAAUAUCGGAAAAAGGAUGAAAUUCACUGAGAAGUGGAUUAAGAUAGUAGAGUCGUCGGUAUGUACUCAAGUAUGUUUUCUUUUCAUUCAUUAUUUUUGUGAUGUGAUAUUUUUUUAAUUUUUGUUAUACGUUUUUUUUAUGAUAAUAUAUUAUAUAUUUUUGACGAAUGUUAUAUGUUUAUGUUGAGAAAAUAAAAUGUGUUCAAUUUUUUCCUUUGUAAAUUCUGUUAUCACCCAAAAUUCCAUUUUCAGGUA
Molecule: long non-coding RNA, 355 nt
Organism: Harmonia axyridis
Lineage: Eukaryota; Metazoa; Arthropoda; Insecta; Coleoptera; Coccinellidae
Exons: 2
Source: RefSeq, a predicted model, not a curated record